This 465-nucleotide ribosomal RNA is filed under the name Vreelandella stevensii. Its description in RNAcentral is "partial 16S ribosomal RNA". It matches the Rfam family "Bacterial small subunit ribosomal RNA", at positions 338 to 795 of the family's 1533-position model. Lineage: Bacteria; Pseudomonadati; Pseudomonadota; Gammaproteobacteria; Oceanospirillales; Halomonadaceae. The record is from RNAcentral.
CCUACGGGAGGCUGCAGUGGGGAAUAUUGGACAAUGGGCGAAAGCCUGAUCCAGCCAUGCCGCGUGUGUGAAGAAGGCCUUCGGGUUGUAAAGCACUUUCAGUGGGGAAGAAAGCCUUGGGGCUAAUACCCUCGAGGAAGGACAUCACCCACAGAAGAAGCACCGGCUAACUCCGUGCCAGCAGCCGCGGUAAUACGGUGGGUGCGAGCGUUAAUCGGAAUUACUGGGCGUAAAGCGCGCGUAGGCGGUCUGAUAAGCCGGGUGUGAAAGCCCCGGGCUCAACCUGGGAACGGCAUCCGGAACUGUCAGGCUAGAGUGAAGGAGAGGAAGGUAGAACUCCCGGUGUAGCGGUGAAAUGCGUAGAGAUCGGGAGGAAUACCAGUGGCGAAGGCGGUCUUCUGGACUGACACUGACGCUGAGGUGCGAAAGCGUGGGUAGCAAACAGGAUUAGAUACCCGAGUAGUC